This 497-nucleotide ribosomal RNA is filed under the name uncultured bacterium. RNAcentral's name for it is "partial 16S ribosomal RNA". It matches the Rfam family "Bacterial small subunit ribosomal RNA", at positions 28 to 507 of the family's 1533-position model. The record is from RNAcentral.
GAUGAACGCUGGCGGCGUGCCUAAUACAUGCAAGUCGAGCGAACAGACGAGGAGCUUGCACCUCUGCCGUUAGCGGCGGACGGGGGAGUAACACAUGAAUAACCGACAUAUAAAACAGAGAUAACUUCGGGACACCGGAGCCAAUACCGGCUAAUAUCUUGAACCGCAUGGUUCAAUAGUGCAAUACGGAUUUGCUGUCACUCAUCGAUGGAUCCCCGCCGCAUUAGCUAGUUGGUAAGGUAACGGCUUACCAAGGCAACGAUGCGUAGCCGACCUGAGAGAGUGAUCGGCGACACUGGAGCUGAGACGCGCACAAGACCCCUACGGGAGGGAGCAGUCGGGAAGGUUGCGAAAUGGGCGGAAGCCUGAUGGAGCAGCGGCGAGUCAGUGACUAAGGUCUACGGAUCGUAAAACUGUGUUAUUAGGGAAGAACAAAUUUGUAAGUAACUAUGCCCGUCUUGACGGUACCUAAUCAGAAAGCGCCGGCUAACUACGUG